Molecule: microRNA precursor, 88 nt
Rfam family: mir-BART9 microRNA precursor family
AGGGUGAGGCGGGUGCUAGACCCUGGAUUGAAAACAGUUAUUUUAAGUCUGUUACAAUUUAAAGGUCUAGUAGUUGCAAUCUCACCCA